Molecule: long non-coding RNA, 2393 nt
Filed under: Bemisia tabaci
Lineage: Eukaryota; Metazoa; Arthropoda; Insecta; Hemiptera; Aleyrodidae
Description: lncRNA ENSSWEETPG011152
Source: RNAcentral
UGUAAUUCUGGUUAAAUCAAACCGGAAAAUCUGGUUCCGAAGUACAACCAAAUUCUGGUUUGUGACAACAGAACUAUUUUUCAGUGAGGAAAAGGGAUACUCUUCAUAAUAAUUUUGCCCUUCAAAGCAUUUUGACAUCGGUUUGAUAACCAUUGAGUAUUUUCACCUCGCAUCAUUAGCGUCACGUGCUUUCCUUGCAAAAAAAAAGGCCGCGCCAUUGGGCCAUUGCCCGCUGAUAUUUUGGAUUCGAGAGGCUCUCUAGUCCUUUUCCUUCGAUCAAUCUGGAAAUAUACUGCAAUAUCGUCAAAAAUAUUUUGCAACGCAAAAUUAAAACUGAAAUAACUCAUUACCUAAUGACGCCACUAGGAUUGAGCAUUGUCCCAUUGAAAUCGCGAAAACCAUAGCCACCGAAAUUCUCCUCCAGGGUGCGUUGGUUGUCUUUAAUCUUCCCGUUUCGCGCCAACAGCGCAACCACUUCCUCCUCCGUGAACCCAAAGAACCGAGCUAGCGAGUUGUAGUGGGGGGUUUGGCUUCCGUGCCCUCCUUGCGCAGGUGGACAACUCAAACUCCACGGUCGAUACUCCCGUGAUGAGCAUCUUGCUGAACCGUAGUAGCCGUCGUUGAAGAUUUCCUCGAAGAACUUGGCCAUGAAUUCGGCCAUUUUGGAGUAGUAGGCGGCGGCGUAGGCGGGAGGCAAGGGGGUGUCGUAGGCGUCGAUGAUGAGGAUAGGGUCAGUCUCGUUGGCGACGCAACCGCAAAGGAGAGGAACGAAUUCCAAGAGGGUUCUCUUGUCAGCGUUUCCGUUGGUGAUCCGGGUGAAUAUCGGGUCGUUGAAGUGGGUCGUGACAGUAGUAUGGUCUUCGAUGAUCUGAAAUCAAAUUUUGAAUUUUUUGAUCGGUAAUAGGCAUUUAAAGUAAAUGUUGAAUAAAAUAGUUGGUUUCGAUCAUUUCUCGUGAAAUAGACAGAUUUAGUGACUACGUAAUUCGAUUAACAUCAAACUCAGUGGUUCAAACCAUAACAAAUAACAUGCCCUCAUUUACUGAUUUUUAACACCUUCUAGUUUCAUUGCCAUGUAGUAGUCAUUAAGUACGACACUCCUUUACCACAAAUCACUCGGCGGACUUAGAGGUUAUGUUUACAAAAUGAAUCAAUCAAUAUCCAUACAACUGCAGCGAUAGGACGCCUGUUUGAUGUAUCAAACAUGAUUUAUUACCUAGUAGUCAAAUUUUAGGAAGAAUAUAUACCUGCUUAAAUAUUCGUCCGAUCUCUUUGAGCGCGUUUUGAUAAUUGGUUGCCACAAAUGAUCCGAAGCUGAUUUUAAUCACGGGAUACCGAUUCAUGUGUUUUCCCUGAAUUCGUUCAUAGCGGAGGUGUCGGCCAUGACAUUAAGCCCCGAAAAGAGACGUUUUGACUGGCUAAGGUCAUACUUGGAGUUGAAAAAGUAAUCCACGGUUGAUGCCAUGAGUGAUUUUCCGAAUCCAGGUGGUUUAGUCACCAAUACAAUUGGACCCUUGUGCUUCUCCUCGCGGGAUAUGAAGUCGGGAAGGAAUAGGGUUUUGUCUACGUACAGCUUUUGGUGAUUCUCUUUGAAUUCUUAAAGUCAGUGAUUUGUCGUUGGUUGGAUUUCGUCUUCGAUAAAAGUCAGUUUUUCAACAUUGGUAAUUUUUGUCUGGUUUCUAGUUACUACAGAUUCGCUCGACCCUUCAGUAAACAGGACGUGUAAAAUUGAUAAUAAGGUCGCAUAAAUAGUUCUUUCCAUUUUCAAAAGUAGAGCGACGAUUUAAGGUUUCUUAUAACCUGAAAACUUUAAAACAACACCACACCAGAAGAGCUCUAAGUCAACGCCAUGACUAUAGUUAUAGCGUUUUGGGUAGUGAAGUGAUUUUAUCAUAAAUCGAGAAGAGAUUUAUCGGUGUUUAUUUGUGACAACUCCCAUGCGCUUUUGCCAAACUGCAGCAUAUUUUACUUUGUCUUAAGGUAUAUAAUUUUAAUUGGAGUACAUACAUUAAAAAUGGCGUUAUGUCAAUGGCCAUUUUGAGUGCCUACAUCGUGUCAGCCGUAGUAAAUACGAGAAAAAGACAAUUGAUUUAGUACACCCAUUCUCGUUCUCUCAUUCCUGACGUGUUACCUCUCUAUAAUGCCAAAAUAACGUUAGGUUGCGGCGACUGAACUUCGGUUUUAUUGAACAGCGCGAACUUUUUCGGUUCAGGCAGGUAACCAGUUUUCGGUCUACGAAACCGAAUUCCGGUAAGCUGAACCAGAGUAACCCUUUCGUGACCGAAAACAUCGAUUAUAUCUAAACCGAAGAAAUUUGCUAUUCCUAUGCAAUAUACACGAGCUUCAUUUCACCGUUUGUCUCGAUUUUUUAAAAAUAUGAACUUUUCGUGCAAUUU